Molecule: long non-coding RNA, 1286 nt
Organism: Ricinus communis (castor bean)
Lineage: Eukaryota; Viridiplantae; Streptophyta; Magnoliopsida; Malpighiales; Euphorbiaceae
Exons: 3
Source: RefSeq, a predicted model, not a curated record
UUAGAACUGCUGCAGAACGGGCAAUAGAUAGAAUUGAAAACACACCCAUCUUCUUCGCACCAAACCCCUCGCCCUGGAUUAUCUUUAAGAGUAAUAUUGUAAAGACGCUGAUCUACUGAUGCAAUAUCAGCCAUGAGAACAGGAAGACCCAAUGGACUUUUGCAGAGUGAACAAGAAAUUUGUAAUUUCUGAUCCAUGACAGGAUCAGAAUUGAUGCUUGAUGGAGCACAAUUAUUUGUUGGGAGGACUCGUGGCGCUUUUGAUUCCAUGGACUGGUGUUCUGCAGAGUCAGUCGCCAAAUCAAAUUCAAUCCUGCGAUUUGCAUCUUUACUGGCCAUUGUAUCAGUUGUGGAUCUAAAACAGCCAGGAGAUUCCAUAUCGGGGGAAUCAGGUCCUUCAACAAGGUUAAUAAAUGGCAAGCCUAUGGGCUGCCUCUUUUUCUGUGUAUGAGAAUUAACACUCAAAUUAAGAGUAGACUCAGCUUCUGGUAUCAGGCUGCAGGUGUUUGCAUUGAAGUCUUUCUUGGGAGUUACUGCCAAUGAACAGCAGGCUUUGCCAGGAUCUUUACUUGCGUUUGUUAGAGACACUGAAUAAGAUGACUCCUGGUCCGUAUGCUCAACAGAGGCCUGAAUCAUGGUUAAACUAGAAUUCCCAUCCUUUGAGAAGGAACCUGAACUAGCUGUUGUACCAUUGAAGCCCAUUCCCGGGGUUUCUUUAACAAGGGUCAUCUCUGGAUCUUCCUGGGAAGAUUCCUCCAAGAACCUACAAAUUCUCACCGAUUUAUCUUCAUAGAAGUCUAGCAUCUUGACAUAUUAGAAGAGAUGCUUAUAAAAUAACCCGUUAGUUACCCUUUAUGAGUGUAUGAAUAUUUCAUAUAUGACACGCAAAUAACACGAAGGAAUAGAAUCCCCUGAUGUUUCCGUUAAUAGUUAUUUUGCCUACAGGGCAUAAUUUGAACUUUUACUGCAGGACUAACAGGCCAUAAUCAGUAAUUAGCAAAAAGAAUAACAUUAUUGAGUCUGCUGGCUGUAGCUUCCUGAAGUUUCCUGAGAUUUACAUCUUAACCGUACAUUCGAUUCAGCAUCAUAUACCACAUAAUUCAUGGGUAAUACGACUUAGUAAAUGCUUGAAAUGAUGAGAUCUUUUGUAUGAUUUAUUGCAUAUUUUGCUAGUAAAAAUAGUACUGGAUUCUAAAAAACGCUGAACCACAAUAAUCGUUGUUAGUUCUGUUAAGCAACCAAGGUAGUAGAAAAUGGCUAGUUACUUACCUUGACUCUUUCGGAAAA